RNAcentral lists this ribosomal RNA (305 nucleotides) under uncultured bacterium. RNAcentral describes it as "bacterial SSU rRNA". It matches the Rfam family "Bacterial small subunit ribosomal RNA", at positions 337 to 640 of the family's 1533-position model. The record is from RNAcentral.
GCCUACGGGGGGCAGCAGUGAGGAAUAUUGGUCAAUGGACGCAAGUCUGAACCAGCCAUGCCGCGUGCAGGAAGACGGCUCUAUGAGUUGUAAACUGCUUUUGUACGAGGGUAAACGCAGGUACGUGUAUCUGUCUGAAAGUAUCGUACGAAUAAGGAUCGGCUAACUCCGUGCCAGCAGCCGCGGUAAUACGGAGGAUUCAAGCGUUAUCCGGAUUUAUUGGGUUUAAAGGGUGCGUAGGCGGUCGGAUAAGUUAGAGGUGAAAUAUUGGGGCUUCACCUCACUACGCCAUUAAUACUGUAGAG